GGUUGGAAAAACACGGGUCGAGGGUUGCCUGGAACGCCUUAUUAUUUUCCGACGAUGGAAGGCGGAAGAGAUGACGCAUAUUGGGAAAUUCUAUAGUCGAGAUUACACAUGGGGGAAAUCUGACGAUGGAUAUUAAACAGGUUUGUCACUGCCAGUGUAGCCAAAUUAGCGUCUAGCCAAAAAAGCGACUUAUUUACUUAUUUAGUCUGAAACUCUUUAGAAACUCUCUCUCCCUUUCUCUCUCUCUCUCUCCCAGCGCGCGCACGCCUCUCUCUGCAUAUGAUCUGUUCACGAGCGCAGAGAGGAGCGGCACUUUCAGUUUAAAAUAAAAUAUAUCCUGUUGCUUUAACUCUAUUUUACAUUUUAUCAUGGAGAGAUUCAGAAGACUAACAGAUGAGGGAUCUAAUGUUUCUGGACCAGAUCAGACAUGAACUCCUCAAAAACAACACACUGCACGCUGGUAAACCUCUUCUGGAGGAGAUGACUUCUAGAUUAGUUUAUAAUAUAUAAAAAAAACUAUUUAUUAUAUAAAAAUUCAAUUAAAAUAAAUGAUACAGUACAUACUGUAUGUAUACACACUACCACAAUACUGUUCACUGUUUGUUUGAGUACGUCAUAAACUAACUGGAUGGUUUUCUCUGUACAUUACUGCUGUAUGGACAUCACCUUGACAUAGUCACCACUGAUUACUCCUAAAUGUGAUGAUAAAAUGUACAUUUCCAGUGAAGCUGCUUUGCAAAUAUUUGUAUCAUGUAAAUAGACAGAUAAAUGUGAAAUGAAUUGAUGUGUCUGAUUCUGGAUCUUUUAUAUAUUGGUUACAUUAUGCAUAAUCAGUUUCAUGAGGAAAUUGGUUUUAGAGAUGAGGAAAGUUUUGACAAUGCUUAACUAUUUCCAUUUGCACACAACCUGUGAUCAGUCAUUACUCUGUCUCGAAUGUCACAAGAUUCCCAUAAUGCUGAUUUGUUUGUGUGUUGUUGUGUGUAUUAGAUUUCCCACAGUGUUUUUAUGCCCUGUCUAUAUAUCCCCUUUCCUUGUGUAUUAUUGUUUGUUGUCUUGUUUGCCUUCUCUUUGGUGUUUAGUUAGUUUGUUCACAAUCAGUUUUUGUUCAGUUUUCUUGGAUAUUCUUGAUUUAUCUUAUCUAAAUAGUUGAUCUACAUUUAUAAAUCAAGCAUCCCCUUGUUUCUUAGUUCACCAUGACUGACACAGACUGACACAUGACGUAAGGUAGUGCUCAACAGACUGAGGAGUGUUUGUCUGUAAAGGAUCAUUGUGUUUGAAAGUGAUGCAAUCUAAAUUAACUCUUUUCACACAGAACGGUCUGUUAUCCCAAUGAGUCUGUCAUUAAUGACUCACGCUUGUGUUGUUUCAAACCCGUGAGACCUUCGUUCAUCUUCAGAACACAAUUUGAGAUAUUUCUGAUUAAAUCUUAUCAUAGACAGCAAAGGUAACUACCACGUUCAAGGUCCAGAGAAGAUGAUUGAUAAAUCAGUCCGUGUGACAUCAGUGGUUCAACUGUGAAGUUACAAAGCUACAAGAAUACUUUUUUUGCAUAAAGAAAACCAAAAUAAUGACUUUAUUCCACCAUUGUACGCACAAUCUUCUGCUGACUGAGUAUUACAAAGAUAAUAUUACACAGGUUCUGGUAUACACAUGGCUUUAUGAAUCAGAAACUUUAGUACAGAAGCAAAAUGUAGCUCUUGUGCAUACAAACACAUUCAGGAUGAAAUCUUAAGAAGUUUUAUACACGAGUCCCCAGGAAUAAAAUGACUCGACUGUUUGUGUCUCAUUAUUGACUGAACGUCCUGUUAAUAAAUCCAGCUUUUGAUCGUCUCUCAAAACAGAAAAUUUAAAUCUGUAUUUAUUGUCAGAUUCGAUGACCUUGUGAGCUGUAAACAUAAUAUACAGUAAAAAUAAAUAAAUAAAUACAUAUGAUUAAAUGCUAACUAGAAGAUUUAGAUGUAUUCAUUUAGCAGGUGAUCUUAUCCACUUACAAACAUCAUACAAUGUCAGGUUUAUUAGAAAGAUAGAUUAGGAGACAAACCAGAGCGGAGGAGAAAUACAACACGUUUUUUUUUUGUAGCAAAUUUUUGUCAUUUAACUUUUGUGAAAAUGUUUUCAGAAAUUUUCAGAAAUUGUCAGAGAGGUGCUUAGUGUUUUUAUAGCAUCUAACAUUAAUUUCUGUAUUUAUACCUUGUUUUUUUUGGAAUGAUGUACUACUUUCAAUAAUUCAAUCAUUUUAAUUGAUAUAAAAAUCGAAACUGUUUAUGCCUUUAGAUCAAUCUAAUUAUUAUACAUCGUGACAGGAGAAAGGUUGUGGAACAGAAACUGAGCGUCAUGUGUUAAGUGUUUGAUUUCAGUCAUGAGUGUGAGAGAGGAUGUGGGAUUGAAGUUUCUCUUUAAAAGGUUCAUGUUCAUGAUGAUUCCUCUUAUUGGCUCAACACAAGAAACAGAACAAAGGCAGAAUUUACAAGACAGUAUGGCAUGGGAGAGCAAAUAUGGAGAAACAAGAACUGCAGGAUAAUUAAACCGAUAGGAAAGAAAGAGAAACAUGGGGAACAUGACACCGAAGACACCGAGUCUACUCAGACAAAACAGCAUUAACAGCGGCAAACCAAACUUUUCUCAUGUUGGUGUUUGGUGGUCUCGUUCUGGUGUUUCAGAGAGAGUCACAGACGAGAAAGCAGUGGUUCUGUUCAACUAACCAGCGGAAUAUUCUCCAACAUGUUCAUCACUGAUUAAACAAUAUAUAUGUGAAUAUGUAUAAAUGGGUAUUAUAUUUAGAAAGUACAUGUUUGGAUUUAAUUUUCAACACUACACUUUGUUCUGAAUGAAUCUGAUCUGAAUGUGAUGUUUAAAGUAAUUAUUGAUGUAA
This is a long non-coding RNA of Carassius gibelio (silver crucian carp), 2872 nucleotides long. RefSeq lists it as uncharacterized. The record is from RefSeq and is a predicted model, not a curated record. NCBI's taxonomy places the organism in Eukaryota, Metazoa, Chordata, Actinopteri, Cypriniformes, Cyprinidae. The transcript has 6 exons.